RNAcentral lists this ribosomal RNA (465 nucleotides) under Vreelandella stevensii. RNAcentral describes it as "partial 16S ribosomal RNA". It matches the Rfam family "Bacterial small subunit ribosomal RNA", at positions 338 to 795 of the family's 1533-position model. Lineage: Bacteria; Pseudomonadati; Pseudomonadota; Gammaproteobacteria; Oceanospirillales; Halomonadaceae. The record is from RNAcentral.
CCUACGGGUGGCAGCAGUGGGGAAUAUUGGACAAUGGGCGAAAGCCUGAUCCAGCCAUGCCGCGUGUGUGAAGAAGGCCUUAGGGUUGUAAAGCACUUUCAGUGGGGAAGAAAGCCUUGGGGCUAAUACCCUCGAGGAAGGACAUCACCCACAGAAGAAGCACCGGCUAACUCCGUGCCAGCAGCCGCGGUAAUACGGAGGGUGCGAGCGUUAAUCGGAAUUACUGGGCGUAAAGCGCGCGUAGGCGGUCUGUUAAGCCGGUUGUGAAAGCCCCGGGCUCAACCUGGGAACGGCAUUCGGAACUGUCAGGCUAGAGUGCAGGAGAGGAGGGUAGAAUUCCCGGUGUAGCGGUGAAAUGCGUAGAGAUCGGGAGGAAUACCAGUGGCGAAGGCGGCCUUCUGGACUGAGACUGACGCUGAGGUGCGAAAGCGUGGGUAGCAAACAGGAUUAGAUACCCGGGUAGUC